CAUGAAGUGCAACCGCACGAAGUGAUGUUUAAGUAAUAAAUUGAUAUUUAUUCACAUCCUGAGGCGAGUCUGACUAAAGGG
This is a regulatory RNA element of Streptococcus sp., 81 nucleotides long. The record is from Rfam. Lineage: Bacteria; Bacillati; Bacillota; Bacilli; Lactobacillales; Streptococcaceae.